Non-coding RNA from Bacillus smithii, 112 nucleotides. NCBI's taxonomy places the organism in Bacteria, Bacillati, Bacillota, Bacilli, Caryophanales, Bacillaceae. The record is from Rfam.
AACUUAUCAAGAACGACGGAGGGACCUGGCCCAAUGAAGUCUGGCAACCUGCCUUGAAAAGAAGGUAAGGUGCCAAUUCCAGCAAAAUGGUAUCCAUUUUGGGAGAUAAGGU